UGGGGAAUCUUGCACAAUGGGCGCAAGCCUGAUGCAGCCAUGCCGCGUGAAUGAUGAAGGCCUUAGGGUUGUAAAGCUCUUUCACCGGUGAAGAUAAUGACGGUAGCCGGAGAAGAAGCCCCGGCUAACUCCGUGCCAGCAGCCGCGGUAAUACGGAGGGGGCUAGCGUUGUUCGGAAUUACUGGGCGUAAAGCGCGCGUAGGCGGUUUGGCAAGUUAGGCGUGAAAGCCCGGGGCUUAACUCCGGAAUUGCGCUUAAAACUGCCAGGCUAGAGUCCGAGAGAGGUGAGUGGAAUUCCCAGUGUAGAGGUGAAAUUCGUAGAUAUUGGGAAGAACACCAGUGGCGAAGGCGGCUCACUGGCUCGGUACUGACGCUGAGGUGCGAAAGCGUGGGGAGCAAACAGGAUUAGAUACCCCCGUAGUCC
This 424-nucleotide ribosomal RNA is filed under the name uncultured prokaryote. Its description in RNAcentral is "bacterial SSU rRNA". It matches the Rfam family "Bacterial small subunit ribosomal RNA", at positions 355 to 796 of the family's 1533-position model. The record is from RNAcentral.